GACGAACGCUGGCGGCGCGCCUAACACAUGCAAGUCGAACGGAUCUGAGAGAAGCUUGCUUUUCUUAGCUUAGUGGCGAACGGGUGAGUAAUGCGUGACUAACCUGCCCUGGAGUGGGGGACAACAGUUGGAAACGACUGCUAAUACCGCAUAAGCCCACGAUCCGGCAUCGGCUUCAGGGAAAAGGAUUUAGUCGCUUCAGGAUGGACGCGCGUCCAUUUAGCUAGUAGGUGCGGUAACGGCCCACCAAGCCGACGAUGAGUAGCAGGACUGAGAGGUAGAGCGGCCACAUUGGGAGUGAGGCACGGCCGGGACACAUACGAGAAGCAGCAGUGGGGGAUACUGCACAAUGGGGGAGUGUCUAAUGGGGCGUCGCAGCGUAGAGGAAGUAAAGUUGGGAAGAAUAGAAGCAUGUUGAUAGGGACGAUUAUGACGGUACCUAACAGGAGAGCAACGGGUAAAUACGUA
This 468-nucleotide ribosomal RNA is filed under the name uncultured bacterium. RNAcentral describes it as "partial 16S ribosomal RNA". It matches the Rfam family "Bacterial small subunit ribosomal RNA", at positions 28 to 507 of the family's 1533-position model. The record is from RNAcentral.